RNAcentral lists this transfer RNA (71 nucleotides) under Fukomys damarensis (Damara mole-rat). It matches the Rfam family "tRNA". From Rfam's summary of the family: Transfer RNA (tRNA) molecules are approximately 80 nucleotides in length. Their secondary structure includes four short double-helical elements and three loops (D, anti-codon, and T loops). Lineage: Eukaryota; Metazoa; Chordata; Mammalia; Rodentia; Bathyergidae. The record is from Rfam by way of RNAcentral.
GGGGAUGUAGCUCACUGGCAGAGUGUUUGCUUAGCAAGCAUGAGGUUCUGGAUUAGAUCCCAGCAUCUUGA